Long non-coding RNA from Oreochromis niloticus (Nile tilapia), 1559 nucleotides. The record is from Ensembl. Lineage: Eukaryota; Metazoa; Chordata; Actinopteri; Cichliformes; Cichlidae.
AAUCAUUAAUAAAUUGUAGUUAUCCAGAGUAAAUAAUUCCUUCAAGCAGGUAUUCUAUAAAAGACUCAAUUAUCAAGUAAUCACCCCACCGUACAUUCAGUGAAACAAAGUCAAAGUAAACACCGGCUCCUGGACAGCUGACGAAUUCUUCUUCUCUCUGUGGUUUUGGCGUAGCCCCCUGUCCUGACUUUGGUUUUUAUGCAUGAAAGUCUGAACUUACUGUGUAGCACUGAGCACAGAUACAAGUGCAGCAACACUGUGUGACCACUCGUCUCCAAGAUGAAAGAUUACGGUUUAAAAAUGCAGAUCUCUCAAAGCGGGGUUUUUAAAAAGCCAGAUGUUGGUGACAAUGUAUCAAGAAAGAGGGCUGCACCUCUGAGGCAAGAAAGUGGGAGAAAGUCUGACUGAAGAAACUCCAACAAUAGUGACCGAGUAGAAAUCCAGAAAAGGCACAGCUUUCCAAAGUGUUCCCAAAACCUUCGCUGUUCGAGCUGGCAGCAGACAGACAUUUAGUCAGAGUUGGGUUGGUCUGCAGUGCAUGGACAAAUUAUGUUUUGCUCACUUCAAAAGAAAUAUCAACUCCAGCAGACAGACGAGCAGGUUUCCCCUGCUGCUGUAGACCAUUCCAAAGCAUCAUAGCGACUGAUGAGAACCCCAAUAUUAAUCAGGCUUGAGAGGAGAGAAACUUUGUGCUGCAGGGCCUUAACACGCUCAUUUUUACCCCCCACACAAGAGUGCUGGCACCACAGGAAAGGCUAAGAUGCUUUACAAAAUAAGAGCCUGGGGAGCUCCAUGUCAAACAGAGUCGGUUCAUCGGCACUGACCAGAGGCUGAGCAGGAACCAGUGUUGCCAACUCCUCAGUAAGGAAAAUCGCUAUUGGCUGUCCUAAAAGUCGCUAAAUGACAUCAUCGCCUAAUUUGCAUAAUUGGUCAUGCUAAUAGUGAUGGUAAAUUCGAUUCUUUUUACUGAAUCGAGUUUUAAUGAGUCACUCACCAAAGUGAAUCGGGUUUCUUGAGUCAUUUGAGUCACUGAGUCAGUUGACCAGAGAGUGCAAAAAUGUAUAUUUUCACUCAAACUUAAUUUGUUUCUCUUUUAAUGUAAAUCCUACUGCUAAGAUAAAUGAUUGUAAAAGAAAACAACUAUUUUUUUUAGAGCAAAAAAGAGCAAAAAAAUUCUAAAGGGAACAUUUAUUUAUUUUUAUUUUAUUUUAUUGGUAUUUUCCUUAAAUGUGUCAAAUAUAUAUUUUCUCAUCUAAAUGUCCACUGAGCUGUGAGCCAGGGGGCAGUAAAGCACCUUAACAUUGGUUGCCAACCAAGAAGAAGCUGUGAGCCAGGAGGGAGGGGGUGGGUGAGUGAGUGAGUGAGUGAGUGAUUUAUAACAGGAAGGGAGGGGUGAGUGAGUGAGUGAGUGAGUGAGUGAUUUAUAACAGGAAGGGAGGGGGUGAGUGAGUCAGUGACUCGUUCAACUUGUUUGAGCUGUGAGCCAGGAGGGAGGGGGUUAGUGAGUCCUGAGUGAUUCGCUUAUGCUAUGAUUCAGCACAGCAAGGGAGGGGGUGAGU